This 460-nucleotide ribosomal RNA is filed under the name uncultured bacterium. RNAcentral describes it as "partial 16S ribosomal RNA". It matches the Rfam family "Bacterial small subunit ribosomal RNA", at positions 338 to 795 of the family's 1533-position model. The record is from RNAcentral.
CCUACGGGAGGCAGCAGUGAGGAAUAUUGGUCAAUGGGCGGAAGCCUGAACCAGCCAAGUAGCGUGCAGGAUGACGGCCCUACGGGUUGUAAACUUCUUUUAUACGGGAAUAACGCGCCUUACGUGUAGGGCUUUGCAUGUACCUUAUGAAUAAGGACCGGCUAAUUCCGUGCCAGCAGCCGCGGUAAUACGGAGGGUCCGGGCGUUAUCCGGAUUUAUUGGGUUUAAAGGGUGCGUAGGCGGCAUGUCAAGCGUGCUGUGAAAUGUCCGGGCUCAACCCUGGCCUUGCAGUGGGAACUGGCGGGCUUGAGUCCGCGGAAAGCAGGCGGAAUUCGUGGUGUAGCGGUGAAAUGCUUAGAUAUGACGAAGAACCCCGAUUGCGAAGGCAGCUUGCUGCAGCGGAACUGACGCUGAUGCUCGAAAGCGUGGGUAUCGAACAGGAUUAGAUACCCCAGUAGUC